UCUUGGCUCAGGAUGAACGCUAGCUACAGGCUUAACACAUGCAAGUCGAGGGGCAGCAUGAACAUAGCUUGCUAUGUUUGAUGGCGACCGGCGCACGGGUGCGUAACACGUAUCCAAUCUACCCAUGGCUCGGGGAUAGCCUUUCGAAAGAAAGAUUAAUACCUGAUGGUGUUCAAAUUCCGCAUGUUAUUUGAACUAAAGAUUUAUCGGUAACGGAUGGGGAUGCGUGACAUUAGGUAGAUGGCGGGGUAACGGCCCACCAUGCCUACGAUCAGUAGGGGUUCUGAGAGGAAGGUCCCCCACAUUGGAACUGAGACACGGUCCAAACUCCUACGGGAGGCAGCAGUGAGGAAUAUUGGUCAAUGGACGAGAGUCUGAACCAGCCAAGUAGCGUGAAGGAUGACUGCCCUAUGGGUUGUAAACUUCUUUUGUUUGGGAAUAAAGUGAGGGACGUGUCCCUUUUUGUAUGUACCAUUCGAAUAAGCAUCGGCUAAUUCCGUG
Molecule: ribosomal RNA, 501 nt
Filed under: uncultured bacterium
Lineage: Bacteria
Description: bacterial SSU rRNA
Rfam family: Bacterial small subunit ribosomal RNA
Source: RNAcentral